RNAcentral lists this ribosomal RNA (481 nucleotides) under uncultured bacterium. RNAcentral's name for it is "partial 16S ribosomal RNA". It matches the Rfam family "Bacterial small subunit ribosomal RNA", at positions 28 to 507 of the family's 1533-position model. The record is from RNAcentral.
GAUGAACGCUGGCGGCGUGCUUAACACAUGCAAGUCGAACGAAGCACUUUAUUUGAUUUCCUUCGGGACUGAUUAUUUUGUGACUGAGUGGCGGACGGGUGAGUAACGCGUGGGUAACCUGCCUUGUACAGGGGGAUAACAGUUGGAAACGGCUGCUAAUACCGCAUAAGCGCACAGCAUCGCAUGAUGCAGUGUGAAAAACUCCGGUGGUAUAAGAUGGACCCGCGUUGGAUUAGCUAGUUGGUGAGGUAACGGCCCACCAAGGCGACGAUCCAUAGCCGACCUGAGCGGGUGACCCGCCACAUUGGGACUGCGACCCAGCCCAAACUCCUACGGGAGGAAGCAGUGGGGAAUAUUGCACAAUGGGCGAAAGCCUGAUGCCGCGACGCCGCGUGAGCGAAGAAGUAUUUCGGUAUGUAAAGCUCUCUCAGCAGGGAAGAUCAUGACGGUACCUGACUAAGAAGCACCGGCUAAAUACGUG